This is a long non-coding RNA of Cyprinus carpio (common carp), 1110 nucleotides long. RefSeq lists it as uncharacterized. The record is from RefSeq and is a predicted model, not a curated record. NCBI's taxonomy places the organism in Eukaryota, Metazoa, Chordata, Actinopteri, Cypriniformes, Cyprinidae. The transcript is spliced from 4 exons.
UGGGAAAGUGUUGUUUUUUACGCCCAACAGAUCUAUGGCCCUAGCUGUUACUUUCACUUUUCGCUCCGACCUUUUGAUUUUUGUAAAAUCUGCCUUCUUUUCAACGGAAAAGUGAUGAAUAUAUUUACUUUUUCCUAACGUUAGGAGGUGUAUGCCUGUUUUUCGUGUGUGGUGCUUCUGCUGUUGAUGCAGACAGAGUGUCAGUGAUGGAGGGAGAUACAGUGACUUUACACACUGAUGUUGAAUUGAACCAAAGAGACAGAAUUGUAUGGUAUUUUGGAAACAGUCGCAUCGCUAUAAUCACUGGAGAUCUCAGUUUGAUCUGUACAGAUGUUCAGUGUAAAGAAUGGCACUGAGAGAUUCAGAGACAGACUGAAGCUGGAUCAUCAGACUGGAUCUCUGACCAUCAGAGACAUCAACACCACAGACUCUGGAGAAUAUAAACUGAAGAACACCAGCCCGCAACACUGACAAUAUCUUUAGUGUUACUGUACAAGGUGUUUCUGCUGCUGAACGAGAUAACAUGAAGAGAAAGUCAGUGAAGGAGGGGAGAAUCUGUUACUUUAGACACUCGUGUAAUUAAAAAACCCAAAUGAUGUGAUGAGAUUGUAUUUUAAUGACAUUCUCAUCGCUGAAAUCACUGGAGAUCAGAGUGAGAUCUGUUCAGAUGUUCAGUGUAAAGAGAGAUUCAGAGACAGACUGAAGCUGGAUCAUCAGACUGGAUCUCUGAUCAUCAUGAACAUCACAAACACAGGACUCUGGAGAAUAUACACUGAAGAUCAGCAGCAGCAGAUUCAGCAUCAUGAGGAGCUUCACUGUUACUGUCUCUGAUGACUUCAGAUUCAGGAUCGUCUUCAGCUGCCGCUGUUGUUGUUGUUGCUGCUGUGUUCUUGUUGUUGUUGUUCUUCUUCUUCUGCUCGUUGCUUGCUGUGGUUUUCCUACAAACGCAAGGCAAUAAUGAAUGUGAGUAUUAUAUUCAGUUGAUUUAACGAGAUGGAAAUAUGAGGAUUGUUGUAUGAACAUAUACGUAUAUUUUGUCUUUGUUCAGCAAACUCAGCAGUGUUUAAUUCAAGUUUAUCAUUAAUCAAACAGGCACCGGGAGGCAGCGCA